RNAcentral lists this RNase P RNA (347 nucleotides) under Holdemanella biformis DSM 3989. Its description in RNAcentral is "Bacterial RNase P class B". It matches the Rfam family "Bacterial RNase P class B". Rfam says of the family: Ribonuclease P (RNase P) is a ubiquitous endoribonuclease, found in archaea, bacteria and eukarya as well as chloroplasts and mitochondria. Its best characterised activity is the generation of mature 5'-ends of tRNAs by cleaving the 5'-leader elements of precursor-tRNAs. The record is from RNAcentral. Lineage: Bacteria; Bacillati; Bacillota; Erysipelotrichia; Erysipelotrichales; Erysipelotrichaceae.
UAUUAAAUCGACAGUCGCUGGCUACUUAGAUAGUUAGAGGAAAGUCCAUGCUCGCACAAUCUGUGAUGAUUGUAGUGUUUGUGCUAGAUGAAUAAAUAAGUCUAGGCAAGUUUUUACUUGACGGCUGUUUUGUUUGCUAAGGGAAACUAUGUAAACAAACUUUAAAAGUGCCACAGAGACGAAUCUAUAUGGAAACGUAUAGGGUGGAACGGGUAAACCCCACAAGCGAGAAACCCAAAUUUGGUAGGGGAACCGGCUGGAAUGAAACGAAAGGAAAGCUGGAUAGCAUUGCUAUAGAUAAAUGACUGUCACCACGCAAGUGGAACAGAACAUGGCUUAUGAUUUAA